This is a long non-coding RNA of Pseudoliparis swirei, 314 nucleotides long. RefSeq lists it as uncharacterized. The record is from RefSeq and is a predicted model, not a curated record. The transcript is spliced from 3 exons. NCBI's taxonomy places the organism in Eukaryota, Metazoa, Chordata, Actinopteri, Perciformes, Liparidae.
AUGGCCUUCCCUUUGUUCAGGACCACGAAGGUCUGGAGGAGGAGAAGAAGAAGAAGAAGAAGAAGAAGAAGAAGAAGAAGAAGAAGAAGAAGAAGAAGAAGAAAUAGUACUGGUCGAUGUCCUCCAGGGGAACGCCCACCAGGUGAGACGGGAUGUCGGCGAAGAUGCGCGGCAGCUGUUUCCCUGCCUCCAGGUCGGCCCGGCGCCGGGGGAGCACCACGUCACCCAGUGUUUGCUGCGGCGGGCCCUCUCCUGGGCGAUGCGCUGCUCGAUGGCCGCCAGGGAGUCCGGCGUGAAGCGCUGAAAGCUCUCUG